UACGGAGGGUGCAAGCGUUAAUCGGCAUUACUGGGCGUACAGCGCGCGUAGGCGGCUAGAUAAGUCGGAUGUGCAAGCCCCGGGCUCAACCUGGGAACUGCAUACGAUACUGUUUGGCUAGAGUAUGAGAGAGGGAGGUAGAAUUCCACGUGGAGCGGUGAAAUGCGUAGAGAUGUGGAGGAAGACCGGUGGCGAAGGCGGCCUCCUGGCUUAAUACUGACGCUGAGGUGCGAAAGCGUGGGGAGAAAACAGG
RNAcentral lists this ribosomal RNA (253 nucleotides) under uncultured bacterium. RNAcentral describes it as "partial 16S ribosomal RNA". It matches the Rfam family "Bacterial small subunit ribosomal RNA", at positions 524 to 776 of the family's 1533-position model. The record is from RNAcentral.